GACAGCAUUGCCUAGUGGAAAGAGCACAGGACUGGAAGUCCAGAGACCUGGGUUCUAGUCCUAGUUCUGCCC
Ornithorhynchus anatinus (platypus) is the source of this 72-nucleotide non-coding RNA. The record is from Rfam. NCBI's taxonomy places the organism in Eukaryota, Metazoa, Chordata, Mammalia, Monotremata, Ornithorhynchidae.